This 252-nucleotide ribosomal RNA is filed under the name uncultured bacterium. RNAcentral's name for it is "partial 16S ribosomal RNA". It matches the Rfam family "Bacterial small subunit ribosomal RNA", at positions 524 to 775 of the family's 1533-position model. The record is from RNAcentral.
UACGAAGGGGGCUAGCGUUGCUCGGAAUGACUGGGCGUAAAGGGCGCGUAGGCGGUUUGGACAGUCAGAUGUGAAAUUCCUGGGCUCAACCUGGGGGCUGCAUUUGUGACUGCAUGGCUAGAGUACGGUAGAGGGGGAUGGAAUUCCGCGUGUAGCAGUGAAAUGCGUAGAUAAUGCGGAGGACACCGAUGGCGAAGGCAAUCCCCUGGACCUGUACUGACGCUCAUGCACGAAAGCGUGGGGAGCAACAGG